UGGGGAAUUUUGGACAAUGGGCGAAAGCCUGAUCCAGCAAUGCCGCGUGUGUGAAGAAGGCCUUCGGGUUGUAAAGCACUUUUGUCCGGAAAGAAAUCCUUGGCUCUAAUACAGUCGGGGGAUGACGGUACCGGAAGAAUAAGCACCGGCUAACUACGUGCCAGCAGCCGCGGUAAUACGUAGGGUGCAAGCGUUAAUCGGAAUUACUGGGCGUAAAGCGUGCGCAGGCGGUUUGCUAAGACCGAUGUGAAAUCCCCGGGCUCAACCUGGGAACUGCAUUGGUGACUGGCAGGCUAGAGUAUGGCAGAGGGGGGUAGAAUUCCACGUGUAGCAGUGAAAUGCGUAGAGAUGUGGAGGAAUACCGAUGGCGAAGGCAGCCCCCUGGGCCAAUACUGACGCUCAUGCACGAAAGCGUGGGGAGCAAACAGGAUUAGAUACCCUGGUAGUCCACGCCCCUAAAACGAUGUCAACUAGUUGUUGGGGGAUUCAUUUCCUUAGUAACGUAGCUAACGCGUGAAGUUGACCGCCU
RNAcentral lists this ribosomal RNA (529 nucleotides) under uncultured bacterium. RNAcentral's name for it is "partial 16S ribosomal RNA". It matches the Rfam family "Bacterial small subunit ribosomal RNA", at positions 355 to 874 of the family's 1533-position model. The record is from RNAcentral.